UUCGUUAACGAACGAGACCUUAACCUGCUAAAUAGUUAGGCCAACGUUUGUUGGUCGUCAACUUCUUAGAGGGACUAUUGACUAUUAGUCAAUGGAAGUUUGAGGCAAUAACAGGUCUGUGAUGCCCUUAGGUGUUCUGGGCCGCACGCGCGCUACACUGACAGAGCCAACGAGUACAUCACCUUGGCCGGAAGGUCUGGGUAAUCUUGUUAAACUCUGUCGUGCUGGGGAUAGAGCAUUGCAAUUAUUGCUCUUCAACGAGGAAUUCCUAGUAAGCGCAAGUCAUCAGCUUGCGCUGAUUACGUCCCUGCCCUUUGUACACACCGCCCGUCGCUAGUACCGAUUGAAUGGGUC
RNAcentral lists this ribosomal RNA (354 nucleotides) under Eukaryota sp. Its description in RNAcentral is "SSU rRNA". It matches the Rfam family "Eukaryotic small subunit ribosomal RNA", at positions 1324 to 1699 of the family's 1831-position model. The record is from RNAcentral.